AACGAACGCUGGCGGCAUGCCUAACACAUGCAAGUCGAACGAGCCCUUCGGGUCUAGUGUCGCACGGGUGCGUAACGCGUGUGAACCUGCGCUUAGGUUCGGGAUAGCUCCCUGAAAGGGAUGCUAAUACCGGAUAAUGUCUUCGUACCAAAGAUUUAUCGACUUUGGUUGUUCCAGCGUUGGAUUAGAUAGUUGGUAGGGUAAAAGCCUACAAAGGCGACGAUCCAUAGCUGGUCUGAGAGGAUGAUCAGCAACACUGGGACAGAGACAAGGCCCAGACUCCUACGGGAGGAAGCAGUGGGGAAUAUUGGACGACGGGCGAGUGCCUGAGCCAGCAAUGCCGUGUGAGUGAUGAAGGCCUGAGGGUUGUAAAGCUCUUUUACCCGGGAUGAUAAUGACAGUACCGGGAGAAUAAGCUCCGGCUAACUCCGUG
RNAcentral lists this ribosomal RNA (433 nucleotides) under uncultured bacterium. RNAcentral's name for it is "partial 16S ribosomal RNA". It matches the Rfam family "Bacterial small subunit ribosomal RNA", at positions 29 to 507 of the family's 1533-position model. The record is from RNAcentral.